RNAcentral lists this ribosomal RNA (340 nucleotides) under Arion subfuscus. Its description in RNAcentral is "eukaryotic LSU rRNA". It matches the Rfam family "Eukaryotic large subunit ribosomal RNA", at positions 1 to 333 of the family's 3401-position model. Lineage: Eukaryota; Metazoa; Mollusca; Gastropoda; Stylommatophora; Arionidae. The record is from RNAcentral.
UCCGACCUCAGAUCGGACGAGAUUACCCGCUGAAUUUAAGCAUAUAACUAAGCGGAGGAAAAGAAACUAACAAGGAUUUCCCUAGUAACGGCGAGUGAAGCGGGAAGAGCCCAGCACCGAAUCCCUCAGUGUCACGCUGACGGGAACUGUGGUGUGUGGGACGCCACCAGCUGCAACAGAGGGCGCCGAAGUCCUCCUGAUCGGGGCUUCACCCAGAGCGGGUGUAAGGCCUUUGCAGGUGCCUCUCUGUGCGGCCGCGAGCGUCUCAGGAGUCGGGUUGUUUGGGAAUGCAGCCCAAAGCGGGUGGUAAACUCCAUCUAAGCUAAAUACUUGCACGAGU